This 81-nucleotide transfer RNA is filed under the name Caloramator sp. RNAcentral describes it as "tRNA-Met". The record is from RNAcentral. Lineage: Bacteria; Bacillati; Bacillota; Clostridia; Eubacteriales; Clostridiaceae.
GGCCCCUUGGCUCAAGCUGGCUAAGAGCACCACCGGCUCAUCACCGGUCGGUAACCGGGGUUCGAGUCCCCUGAGGGGCCC